Molecule: ribosomal RNA, 153 nt
Filed under: Sphingobium sp. NB172
Lineage: Bacteria; Pseudomonadati; Pseudomonadota; Alphaproteobacteria; Sphingomonadales; Sphingobiaceae
Description: partial 16S ribosomal RNA
Rfam family: Bacterial small subunit ribosomal RNA
Source: RNAcentral
CCUUAUCGUAGGGGAGGCAGCAGUAAGGAAUAUUGGGCAAUGGGCGGAAGCCUGAACCAGCCAUGCCGCGUGCAGGAUGACUGCCCUAUGGGUUGUAAACUGCUUGUGUGCAGGAAUAAACCUUGAUACGUGUAUCGAGUGGAAUACCGCAGA